RNA transcript from Capsicum annuum, 1787 nucleotides. It is a transcript of the gene named probable phosphoinositide phosphatase SAC9, with no coding region annotated. The transcript has 6 exons. NCBI's taxonomy places the organism in Eukaryota, Viridiplantae, Streptophyta, Magnoliopsida, Solanales, Solanaceae. The record is from RefSeq and is a predicted model, not a curated record.
GAACUCAUUCUUCUUUUCAUCUAAUAACAAAAAUAUCUUCUCCAAUAUUUCUCUCUCUAGAUUGAUCUCCAUUGAUGAACUUAUGGAAACAUUCAUGAAGCUCUUAGCCUAGAUUUCUACAAUAUCCUCAGAACUAACCUCCAGAAAUACAAUCAUAUUAUGGUCUGAUUCGGGUACAUCCAUUGAUCCUUUGGCUUCUGCACCUUUUCCUUGAAAUGAGUUGUAACAGCAACGGGAUCUGCACCAUUCAUGUCGUUGCUUGCUCCAUUGAAUUCUGGAGCACAAGAAUCAUUUUGGAGAGCUCCCGCCAGUGCUUCCUCUGUUGAAUUUGUCAUUUUCCUUGGCGAUUUAUCAGAUGUUUGUGGUGUUGUUCUUCUAGUUAGUCCUUAUGGCUACUCGAUGGCAGACGCUCCUGUUAUCCUAACAUUAACGUGAAGGCUGCAGCAGCGCUCAACCAUCCUCAGUUCGUCAAUUCAUUUGAAAUUUCAACAUCGCCAACGACAGUCGUCUGCUCAGUUCAUUUGCUCAGUUCAUCACUGCCGUCAGCAUUGCUGCCGAGUGCAGCCACUGCCGUCACGCCAACGGCGAUGACUCAGCAAGGUUCAGAUUUGGGCAAGCAGUAAAAUACACAAGGAAGAAAGAUCAUGUGUGGGGAAAUGGGAUAUGAGAUCUCUGAUCACCUCUUCCUCUGAGCUUUGUGGGCUAGAGAAGUCUUCUGAAGUGCCUAGACAUGUAAAAUAUUCUUUCCGUAAUCCUGUUCGAUGUCGCAUGAUUUGGAUAACGUUGCGUCUACAAAAAGUUGGCUCGAGUUCUGUAAAUUUUGAGAAAGACUUUAGUCGUUUGUCCUUAGAGGAGAACCCAUUUUCGGAGCCUGUGAGACGUGCUUCCUUUGGAGAACCAGUUGAAAGUGACCCAGGUCUUCAUGCUAUAAAAGAAUCUUGGUGGUUGGAAGCCCAUUGAGGAAAGAUGUAGGGGCACCAAGUCAAGGCUCUGACCAGAUAAAUACGAGCAAUUUGUUUGAUAAAGGUCCUCCACUAAACAGAUUUAAGGUUCCAAUUGAGGUUGAGAGACUAACUGACAACGACCUUGUUUUAGAACAGUUUCUACCCCCAGUUUCACCUAUGCUGGCAGGUUUUCAUCUUGACGGUUUUAGUGCAAUAAAACCUCGAGUCACCCAUUCACCCCACCACCUUCACUGAUGAAUCCAUGGGAUGUUUAUUCUUGUAUAUUGGAAGACAGAUUUGUUUGUCCAGCUGUAUUGUACAUUCAAGUGGCUGCUUUCCAGGAACCACACACUAUGGUCACCGUUGCAGAAUGCAGGUUGCCGGAAGUGAAGGUGGGGACAGCAAUGUACUUUGAUUUUCCUAACCAAAUUAGUACUCGUCGAAUGUCAUUUAGACUUCUUGGAGAUGUUGGUGCAUUUACUGAUGAUCCAUCAGAGAAGGAUGACUCGGAUGGUAGGGUCCGGAUCGUGGCAGCAGGACUCUCUUUGGCUAAUAGAAUCAAGUUGUAUUAUUAUGCUGAUCCCUAGGAGCUCGGAAAAUGGGCGAGUCUUUAAGCUGUUUGAUUAGGAUAAUCAAACCAAUUUACUGGUUAGUGGUUACAUCAUUAAUUUUGUAUUGUAGAAGUCUUUAUUCUUCUUGCUUUCAAAUGCUUCUUCAAAACAUUAGAUUCAUUUCAUGUUAAUAUGUAUAGGAGAGAGUUUAAGUUUCCAUUUCUGUAAAAUUCUGUAUAAUGUAUUGUGGCGGAAGUGUAACAUUUUGCAAUCCUAUAUAAUUUCGAGCUCG